This 647-nucleotide long non-coding RNA is filed under the name Prunus dulcis (almond). Its description in RNAcentral is "sRNA ncRNA". Lineage: Eukaryota; Viridiplantae; Streptophyta; Magnoliopsida; Rosales; Rosaceae. The record is from RNAcentral.
AAUUCUACUUUAUUUCAAUAAGCGCAAAAUGUAAAGAUUAAAGUGCGAGCGGAUAGAGAGAGAGUGGCUAAUUAAGCUAGCUCUCUAUCUUUAAUAAACAAGACAGUUGUAAAAGAUUGCUUUCUUUUAUCUGUUUGCUUUUUUAUCUGUAUGCACUGAUAGAAAAUAUUCUCUCAAUCUGUUGGUUUGUAGCACGGAAGAAACUUUGUUGCAUCCAAACCCGGAGAAUAAUGCACCUGCAAAUACACCAUCUCCCGAUAAUCAGGAAGUAGAGGUACUAAUUUAAUUACGAUUUAAAGUAAAUUAUUUCUUCCAAAACAUUCAUCCAUACAUAUAUAUAUAUAUAUAUAUAUAUACACACACACACCCACAUAUAUAACCUUGAAAUAUUAAUUUAAAAGUUGUCAUUUGUAUAUAUAUCAUGGGAAUAACUGAACAAAAUAAAAGAAAUAAUUUUCUUUAAAAAAAAAAAAAACAAACCAUUGACUAUUAAUAUAAAUAUUGCGUAAUUGAUAAAAUACCACAAAAACAAGAUUGGUGAAGUGGUUUGUGAACGAGACUUUCCUCCUUUGAGGGUCAAGGUUUGAGUCUCUUCAUGCACACUAAAUUUCUUACCUUUUUAGGAGCAGGAGCAGGAGCAGGAGCAG